This 253-nucleotide ribosomal RNA is filed under the name uncultured bacterium. RNAcentral describes it as "partial 16S ribosomal RNA". It matches the Rfam family "Bacterial small subunit ribosomal RNA", at positions 524 to 776 of the family's 1533-position model. The record is from RNAcentral.
UACGUAGGGGGCAAGCGUUGUCCGGAUUUAUUGGGCGUAAAGAGCGUGUAGGCGGUCUGUUAGGUCCGUUGUGAAAACUCGAGGCUCAACCUCGAGACGCCGAUGGAAACCAGCAGUCUAGAGUCCGGAAGAGGAGAGUGGAAUUCCUGGUGUAGCGGUGAAAUGCGCAGAUAUCAGGAAGAACACCCGUGGCGAAGGCGGCUCUCUAGUACGGUACUGACGCUGAGACGCGAAAGCGUGGGGAGCGAACAGG